CCCUUAGAUGUUCUGGGCCGCACGCGCGCUACACUGUUCGACGCAGCGAGUCUUAACCUUGACCGAAAGGUUUGGGUAAUCUUUAGCAAAGUCGAACGUGAUGGGGAUCGAUCAUUGCAAUUAUUGAUCGUGAACGAGGAAUUCCUAGUAAGUGCAAGUCAUCAGCUUGCGCUGAUUACGUCCCUGCCCUUUGUACACACCGCCCGUCGCUACUACCGAUUGAAUGGUUUAGUGAGAUCUCUGGAUUGACGCUGGCUAGGGGGCGACCCUUGGCCAGGCUGUCGAGAAACUGCUCAAACUUGAUCAUUUAGAGGAAGUAAAAGUCGUAACA
Molecule: ribosomal RNA, 331 nt
Filed under: uncultured eukaryote
Lineage: Eukaryota
Description: partial 18S ribosomal RNA
Rfam family: Eukaryotic small subunit ribosomal RNA
Source: RNAcentral